AACUUAUUUUUGAAAAAUAUGCCAGAAUAUUUCUUUAUUCCAAUUUAUGCUUAAACCAGAGAGAAAGUGAAAAAGCACUUGAAACGUUGCGAAAUGACUCCAACGAAUCGACUGGACUUGACGCAAUUGGCCAGAAGCAUCCCCGACGCGCACCGCCACCGCUUAGAAAUGGGGGAGGCUGAACCGUCGACUUGAUAGGCCGCGGCCGGUCGAGAGGACAAUCGGUGACCCAUAUAAGGAGAAACGAUGAACAUUUUGUCUCUUCU
Non-coding RNA from Caenorhabditis elegans, 266 nucleotides. Lineage: Eukaryota; Metazoa; Nematoda; Chromadorea; Rhabditida; Rhabditidae. The record is from Ensembl.